AGCAGUGGGGAAUAUUGGACAAUGGGCGAAAGCCUGAAUCCAGCCAUGCCGCGUGAGUGAUGAAGGCCCUAGGGUUGUAAAGCUCUUUUGUGCGGGAAGAUAAUGACGGUACCGCAAGAAUAAGCCCCGGCUAACUUCGUGCCAGCAGCCGCGGUA
RNAcentral lists this ribosomal RNA (156 nucleotides) under Rhodopseudomonas palustris. RNAcentral's name for it is "partial 16S rRNA". It matches the Rfam family "Bacterial small subunit ribosomal RNA", at positions 350 to 522 of the family's 1533-position model. The record is from RNAcentral. Lineage: Bacteria; Pseudomonadati; Pseudomonadota; Alphaproteobacteria; Hyphomicrobiales; Nitrobacteraceae.